This 308-nucleotide long non-coding RNA is filed under the name Elaeis guineensis (African oil palm). RNAcentral's name for it is "long non-coding RNA (EGUI_LNC023138)". The record is from RNAcentral. Lineage: Eukaryota; Viridiplantae; Streptophyta; Magnoliopsida; Arecales; Arecaceae.
GGCUCCAGGGGCGAACAGCUGAAAUUGCUCCGGGAUGCAAUAUUGCUCUCGGAGCCGAUCAACGUUCGGCCCCGAAAGUGAAAAGACCUCCACCUCUGGGGUCGACCGAGGGUCGUCAGUCGGGUUCCCCGACCGACCUCCUCUUGGAGAUGUUCUAGCCAUAAACCGGAAUAGAAGUCGGAAAAUAGGAAGAAGGGGGAAGAGAACCGUGAGGAAGCAAGGAAAAGGAAGGACAACGGUGAAGGCUCCUAGAGGAAAAAAGACUUCUAAAGGGGGAAAAUGGAGACGGUUACCUGGGGCAAGGGACC